Molecule: ribosomal RNA, 491 nt
Filed under: uncultured bacterium
Lineage: Bacteria
Description: partial 16S ribosomal RNA
Rfam family: Bacterial small subunit ribosomal RNA
Source: RNAcentral
AGUGAACGCUGGCGGUAGGCCUAACACAUGCAAGUCGAACGGCAGCACAGUAAGAGCUUGCUCUUACGGGUGACGAGUGGCGGACGGGUGAGGAAUACAUCGGAAUCUACUUUUUCGUGGGGGAUAACGUAGGGAAACUUACGCUAAUACCGCAUACGACCUACGGGUGAAAGCAGGGGAUCUUCGGACCUUGCGCGAUUGAAUGAGCCGAUGUCGGAUUAGCUAGUUGGCGGGGUAAAGGCCCACCAAGGCGACGAUCCGUAGCUGGUCUGAGAGGAUGAUCAGCCACACUGGAACUGAGACACGGUCCAGACUCCUACGGGAGGCAGCAGUGGGGAAUAUUGGACAAUGGGCGCAAGCCUGAUCCAGCCAUACCGCGUGGGUGAAGAAGGCCUUCGGGUUGUAAAGCCCUUUUGUUGGGAAAGAAAAGCAGCAGGUUAAUACCCCGCUGUUCUGACGGUACCCAAAGAAUAAGCACCGGCUAACUUCGU